AUUGAACGCUGGCGGCAUACCUUACACAUGCAAGUCGAACGGUAACAGGUCUUCGGAUGCUGACGAGUGGCGAACGGGUGAGUAAUACAUCGGAACGUGCCUAGUAGUGGGGGAUAACUACUCGAAAGAGUGGCUAAUACCGCAUGAGAUCUACGGAUGAAAGAAGGGGAUCGCAAGACCUUGUGCUACUAGAGCGGCCGAUGGCGGAUCAGGUAGUUGGUGGGAUAAAAGCUUACCAAGCCGACGAUCUGUAGCUGGUCUGAGAGGACGAUCAGUCACACUGGGACUGAGAGACGGGCCAGACUCCUACGGGAGGCAGAAGUGGGGAAUUUUGGACAAUGGGCGCAAGCAUGAUCCAGCAAUGCCGCGUGCAUGAUGAAGGCCUUCGGGUUGUAAACUGCUUUUUGACGGAACGAAAAGCCCCGGGUUAAUAGCCUGGGGUCAUGACGUUACCGUAAGAAUAAGCACCGGCUAACUACGUGCCAGCCGCCGCCGUAA
RNAcentral lists this ribosomal RNA (498 nucleotides) under uncultured bacterium. Its description in RNAcentral is "partial 16S ribosomal RNA". It matches the Rfam family "Bacterial small subunit ribosomal RNA", at positions 30 to 523 of the family's 1533-position model. The record is from RNAcentral.